This 9005-nucleotide unclassified non-coding RNA is filed under the name Dimorphilus gyrociliatus. RNAcentral describes it as "dgyrCDS14448". The record is from RNAcentral. Lineage: Eukaryota; Metazoa; Annelida; Polychaeta; Dinophilidae.
UUCUCUUUUUAUAAACAGCAGCGCCGUGUGUGUGCUUUUUCUUUGUUUUAUGCUGGAAACCCGAUACGGUCGCGGUUCGUCUGCAACGGUCGCGUUUGAUCAGCUAAACGACAAAGAGAAAACUCGUUGCGUAACGGUUUUGUCGUACGAAAGACGUCGAUAAAGUAAGAGACGUCGUUCGAUAUGAAGAAUUAUUCGAUACAGACGCCUUUGUUUAUUUUCGCGCUUCCUUGCACCAAUAUAUCGGUAACGUUAGAAAAACGUUUACGUUUCACGGUGGGUAGGAGAACACGUGCGCAAUAUUUCGUUCUCUUGAAAACUAUCGACAAAAAUCAUUAUGUAAAGCAUAAGGAAGUUGGAAAAGACGCCUGUUGGCAAUUUUUAAUUCUUUGCGGCAUCUCUUUUUUGCCGCGUUUUCUUUUUUUGCCCUGUAUUUUUUAAUUAGAAAAAUGAUUUUUAACGCCUAUCUCGUAAGUUUUGCCGGGCGUUAGCAAGGCGUUAAGAAAGUAUUUUGGCCACCCACUUUUUGCUGCCGAACGUGAUUAAAGUCUUUGCCGCUUUUUGUCAGUUUUUCCAUAUUUUCAAACGAUAAGAAAAACAAUUUAGUUGUUGUAGUAGGAACGAUUGUCUGUCAUCUCGCGUAAUGCAUAUUUGGCCUUAUCACUCCUUUUUUUAUUUUCAAACAAAACGCAUGGCCAAUUUUUACAUUCUUGGUCCUAAUUACUAUGUCACUCGUAUAAUUAGCGAACGGGUCUUCUGUUGAUCGAAAAAAGACGGCUCUUUUUAGAUUUACAAAUGCUAAAUUAUAAAGUGUAACGUACAUAGAAAACAACGGGUUUUUGCACUCUAAUAAUUCUUACGUGCACUAGCGUCGUACACGUUUAUCGACGUAUUUUCUAUAAUGUCCUAAAAGAAAUGCAGCAAUAUGGGCGGAGUCUCGCCAAUCGCACCCGCCUAUUGGCUGAGAGCGGCUUUUUUGGCGCCACUUACGCCGCUCUUUCUUUGACUGUUCUCUCCGCAUUAGUUGUAUUGAGAAGAGAGAUGUUCGGUCAUCAGGAUUCGAGUGCCUAUUACGCGCCAACGGAGAUGUUCUGGGAUCAACGAAUAGGACAUAGCUGGCGGCAGGGUGAGCUUGUCUGGGUUUCUUUUAUUUUUUCGCAAAAAACGAUUUUUGCUGCUUCUAUAAUAUUUUUUUAACAAAAAGUUGGGUCAAAAAAAAUUAGGUUAGCUUUAUCGUUUUCUUUAAAGCCUCUGAAAUUUCACUUUUUAAAAUUAGUAGCGCAAAACGAACCGGGCGGAUGACGGUUAUUCAAAAAUUGAAUAAGUCUAUUGAUAGUGGUGAAUGUAAAUGAAUUAUUUCCUAUACAAAAAAAGACAUUAAACUUCUUAGUAGGAACACAAGAGAUUUUUUCCUUCGUAACGAAUAAAUUUGUGUGUGUCUUUUAAGACGAAAGAUUCGGGUAUACAUUUCUAUUUAGGUGAAAGAGAAAAAAAAGUGAAAAAUAAAUAAAAAAACACCAAGAUAAAAAAUUGAAAUAAAAAGAGAAGAAUUAAAACUGUUCGAGUUAACGACAUAUGUAAAUAUAACAAAGUAGAACGGCGGAAGAAGGAAGGGGGAAUAUCGAAGGAAUUAGGCGUUUAGAUUUGAAUAUUUUAGAGGUUACAUCUCUUCCGACCACGUUAUAUAUUUACUAUAUUUAUUACGUUUGUAUAUGUCUGUGUGUAUGAGGGUUUAAAAGCGUCCUACGUAGUUUUUUUAUGAAUUAAUUUCAAAAGAACGAAAGAGGCGGCAGGUGACGUUCAACGAAAUACUUAACUAUUCAAAUAACGUACAAUAAUUUUUUCGAUGCGACCAAGUUUAUUUCCUCUCUAAUUAUUUACUCUAACGCGAAUUUUUCUAGGCCUAAGUAUUGCCACCCUUUAUACGUAGUGAAUUGCGUGCGAGCUAGCUCUUUCCUUUUCAACGCACGUAAUAGGCCUGCUUGGAAAUAUGCUUGAACCAAGCACGCGCUUAACACGCUCUUUCCUUUUAUAUCUAAUGUAUAGACCAGAAAGACAAGUGGGUUGUUGAAAGCAACCUUAAAGAAAGCCAUGUCUCAUUUCCGUUUCAUUUCUUUAUAUUUCUAGAAUAUAAUUUCUACCAAUUUCAAUACUUAACUGUACACUUUGUCAAAGUUUUGAUAGAAAAAAAAAAUAAAGAAGGCAGCGAGUGAAGAGGUAGAUGUGUUAGCUUGUUGUAUAUUACCAUAAUAAAUAGGCCUAAAAGGCAAGGUUCCUAGUUGAACACUAUUGUAAAAUGAAAAAAGGGUUUAAGGAAAGGAGGUAUAGAAUUAAAGAAAAAAAAAUAUUUGAAAGAGGAGAAAGCACGCGUCGAGCACGCGAUUUUCUUCAUACCUUCGAAUUGACCCUGAAAGUAUAUUUUUUAAUAUAAAUCUCUCCCCAACGUGUGUGAUCCUCUUUGAUUAUUAUAUUCUCUCAUAUGAAAUUCUUUCGUCGUCUCGUCUUAUUGUUGUUAGGUCGGGAUCGGGCCGUUUCAUUGAUUUAUAUAUCCAAUAAACGCGCCUCAUGAGAUAUUUUAAAAUGAUCUACUACAUAAACCACCGCCUCCGUUGCAUUGGUUUUUAUUCUUUAUGCUUUUUUUUUUUUUCAUUCUAAUUUUUGGUUGGUUCCAUCUCCUUCCGCCUUUCCGAAACACAUAAAAGAAUCUAUACAAGUUCUUUUCGGCAAUAAUUUAGAUUAGAAAGAUACGGUAGAAGAGAAUUAAGUCGAUCGGAAAAAAGAGGUCGAACGUUAUGGCGCAUACGAUAAGAACUUUUUCUAUGGCUAAAAAUUUUUUUUGUCUAUAUGCAGUAUAUAAUUUAAUAUAUAUGGAAUGUUGAAAAAAGCGAAAAUGGAAUUUUUGUAUAAAAAUCUAGUUAACCUUUCAUACAGUAUAUCCUCUGACACACAUACUCUCUACUUUCCUCCCUCCCUCCCCUCCCCUCUCUCCCCUCUCUCCAACUUUGCGAAUUUUUGGCGUUAUUCCUGGUUUCCCAGUUAAUAUCGAAAGCGAACGUAUCAAAAAGAGAACGAAAAAAAAAUAGCACACGAGACAAGGUCCAUUUGGACGCAUUCAAUAUUAUUUACGUGCCGUUUGCCAUCUUUUAUUACAAAACAUUAUGAGACCUUAACCGCUUUUCUAUUAACUUUAUAUUAUUUUUAUGAUUUUGGCGAUAAAUCGUGAAAAAUGCGGGUCAUAUAUUGAAAUGUGUGCGGAAUUAAUAUUUUGCCCUUUUAAUCUUCUCCAUCUUAAAAGUUAUAUAUGUAUAGUAUGUAAAUAGAAUAAGGUAGAGGGUUUUAUCAUUUUUCAAUGGAUGAUCAAGUGCCCGGUAAUAUAUUCGGCAAAUAAAUAUUGACCUCGGCCAGUCGCAAUAAUUUCGGAUUGUUGGAAUUAUGCGUAGACACGAAUUUUUUUAGUUUACGUUUAGAGAAUUUCAAGAUAAAAAUGCGGAAUUUAAUAAAAGCUAAAUGAUUAUAUUAGAAUGAAUUAUAAGAGGAGUACAAGGGAGUUUGAGAGACUGGCAGAUUGGAAUAGGGAACUAGGUGAUGGAAACAUAGAAAAGAGAGCAAAAUUAAGAGGAAGCAGACGUCUGAGCAGAUUGUGGAAAGGGUUCUUUAUAAAAAUUCUCCUUGUUAGAGUGUCUGUCUAUGUGCUAUUUAUUUAUUAAUCUGUUCAGGGUUAGUGUUGCGGCAUUUUCUGGAAAAUAACCGGAUGAGAUAGUGUUGUUUAACUUUUUUAACAUUAGGAAUGUUGACGCGUCCUUCAGCAUUCGUGUUCGUCCUUAAUCGGAUUAUAAAAGAUUAAGCAACUAUGAAAAUUUCUUCAAUUCUUCUUCAUUUUUUACAGAUCAUCUACUUCGAGCGGCCGCCGGAAGUAUGACGGAACGCGGUGGCGAAUUGGGAACGUAUCAUCCUCUUUGGACGUCCGACGGUGCUAUAGCGCAGGUAACAUUUUUACGCUUGCGCGAUUCAGAAAAGCUGAGUGGCGUACAUCUGCCGCGAUUUUUUUACCUUAAACUUCGCGUAUCCGAUUGCCCAGACGAAUGUUUGAAUGCGUUACCCGAAUGAACUAAAUAGAACAACCAAUAGGAAAAAUUUUAAAAGAACAACUUGACCACACGUGGUCAACCACGCCCCUCCUACUUGACCCGUCCACAAUUUAACCACGCCUACUGACCACGCGACUCGGACCGGUCCACGGCACGCGCCACUGUUUCCCCUCGUUUAACCCCGAUUUCGAGGUGGCGCUGUUGUUUAACGUUGUGUGUUUGUCGCGUACCCAUUGUUGUUUUGCAUUUUUACAUGGAACGCGGAAUGUACCAGUACGACUAUUGGGUGAGUGGAUUUUUUUUCAGGUGUAUACGCUGUUCAAAGCGAGCGAACGCGCGCGCGCGCGCUCUUUUCCUUGGAGCUUUUUUUCUCAACGCCCUGAAUAUUCACGCACCAUCUGACAAGAAACGACGCGGAAUUUAGAACGCGACCCGAUUUUUUUUUUUUUAAGUAGAGAUGGUGAUAGACGGAACGAGUUUUGCACGUGUUGCAGUCUAGUUAAAAAAGCAUCUUUUCGGAAAUUUUACCAUAGCCUUUUCCAUUUUAUAUUGCCUCGUCCUUCACCGCCCCCAUCCCUUUCUUAUCUUCAUUAUUGGGACAAUAUACCGUCUCUCUAUAUCGUAUUGUUGGCAUUUUUUAUUUAUAUAAACAGUAUUGACGAAAGAAGAUAAUUUUAAUAUGCUCUUAAAGUCCCUUUUCCCGUCGCUCACCCUCUCAUACUUAUUUAUACAGUAGUUAAUAUAUAAAUAGGCAAAUAAAUAUAAAGCAGAUAGAGCAGCUCGACAAGUCGGCCUUACAGUAAAAAGAAAAAAAAAGGAUAAACAAACAAAAUAAUAAACUUAAUUGAGUAAAUAUGAAGAGAAAAACCGUAUAAAUCGUUAUAACUACUUAUAGAACGCGGCUAUAUUACAGUAAUCGAGUAUAUUUGACUCAAAACCUAUUCGCUGUAAAUAUAAAUUACGUUAAAAGUAAAAAGAAGAAAAAAACGACGAAGCACUAAAAAAAACGAGAAGUAAAAAAAGAAGACAAGAAAAAAGACUAUAAUUUUGUAUGGAUUAAAUAAGAGAUAUUUAAGAAUUUCUUCCUAUGCAAUUUAGGAUAGAUAAUUUCAUAUCGUAUCUCUUGCAUAGCUAUGCGCGCGUUAUUAUACAGUAUAUAGUCUAAAAUGUAUAUAUAGAUAUAAGCAUGUAUAGGUAGAAAAGAAAAGCAUAACAUGUAUACACCCAUCUGGUGCGAGUAUGAUUUAUUCUUUAUGCCGUCAGCUUUUAUGUUAAAUGUAUGAUUUAUGUAGAAAGAGCACAUAUAGAAAAAGGAGAAAAAAUCAAUUCAUAAAGGAAGGUUUAAAGUGUAAAAUAUAAUUUUUCGCCUGAUCGAAGUUUGCGCGCGUGUCGGGGCCAGGAGAAUAUCGGAAGUGGAGAAGAAUUCGAUUCCGAUGAAUUGAACGAGCGCAGGCAUGCACGACGCCGUCGCCGCCCUGAGCCACAUACCGCGAGCGUUCGGAAUGUUGCGUUAGAUUAUUGUAUGUCAAAUUUUUUCUAUGUAUGGGAAAUAUAUGUACGCAAAGGUCGAGUUUGACGGUUUUCAGAUUUUUUAAGUGAGUGUGUGAGUGAGAGAGAAAGAACGAACGAAUGAACGAAAGAAAGAAAGACAGACAUUGCGAGAGAGAUGUUUAACAGGAGGGGAAGGUGAGGGCGAGAGAAAGAAAGGGAAUGAAAUUUUUCAUUUUCAAACCAAAAGAGGAAAUGGUCAAAGAAAUUAAACGUACAAUUUAUACACUUAACUUGUUUUGUUAGGUCAACGACGCCAACAUAUGCAAUCCGGUAGCAACAAUGGGCGGCGGUCAAGCUACCAACAGUCACUACCCCCCACCAAAGGUGUCUGCCCUCUUCGACUCUACUUGCCCCCCAUGCCCACCGCCGCCACAUCCAUCCGUCAUGUCGCAGCCAGGCUUAGUUGUACCGCAGCCGUUGAAACCGUCCAGAUCGGCCAAGACCUAUCAUUGCCGGAUGUGCGAACAGGUUUUCGACUGCAAAUCGGACCUGCUCGUUCAUAGCCAACAAGUGCAUAAGCAGGACCCAAAGCCUUACAAGUGCCCAACCUGCAACAAGUGCUUCGCCAAUUCAUCUUAUCUAAGUCAGCACGCACGCAUCCAUUCCGGAAUCAAGCCGUAUCGUUGCAAUAUUUGCGACAGACGAUUUACACAACUUUGCCACCUGCAACAGCACAUGCGUACUCACACAGGAGAGAAACCUUAUAAAUGUUCUCAUCCUAGCUGUGGAAAGGCCUUUACGCAGCUAAGCAGCUUACAAUCCCAUAGUCGGUCGCAUAUGACCGACAAACCAUACAGAUGCAACAGCUGUUAUAAAUGCUUCAGCGACGAACAGGCGUUAAGGGAUCACAUACCGAAGCAUUCAGAGACGAAACACUUAAAGACGCACAUUUGUCACGUUUGCGGAAAGAGCUACACGCAAGAGACUUAUCUGGCUAGACAUAUGCAAAAGCACGCCUAUGACCGCAAUUGUCCUAUUCAACCAGGCCAACAGCAAACGCCAACCGUAACGCAGCAUCAUCAUCCUGCCACGUCUAUUUUCGACCUUGCUCCACCAGGCCCACAUACGUUGGCACCGAUAACUUCUCUUACGCAAUCGCAUCAAGAUGACAUAAAAUGUUCUGCCUUCCUUCCCAUUUCCUCCUUUGCCUCCCUGGCUCCACCACCACCUCCGCCGCCUCUUCCGUCGCAGUAUAACGGACUGCAAUCGAGUGAAUUUUCAACAUCAACACCGGCAACAAGUUCAACUUCCUCUAACAGACGCCCAGACAACUCGGCAGUGACAUCGUCACCGUUUCUUAGUCUGCAACAGAUAAAGUCGUACUCGAAUCAGAACUCUUUUUUUCCAUCCGUAUCCACUUCAAGUAGUCCAAAGGACCAUCAGCAGCCUUACGUUUAAUUUAUGCAAUUUAGCUAUCACGUGACUGCUGUUCUAAUUCUGGACGCUGUAGACGUUUGAAAAGAAAAGAAAAGCAAAGGUGUUUUGAAAAAAAAAUUUAUGUAAAACAAAAAAUAGUCUUAGUAAAAAUUUAUUUUUUUUUCCUUGUUUCUUUUUUUUUUCUCUAUUUUUUUUAUAAUUAUCAUUAUUAUCAUAAUUAUUAAUAUUAUUAUUAUUCUGCUCUGUUUAAGGUUUAUAUGGUAAAAAAAAAGAAAAAGAAUGAAAAUUAUUUGUUUGUACGUGAAAAAAGUUUUUUUUUGUAUCUAUACCAGCUCCUUAAUAAUGUAUGUAUAGCUUAUUUAUUCAGAUCUUUAUAUAUACAUAUAUAUUGGUUCUAUUGGUUUUUUUUUUUCCUUUUUUUUUCUCUUUUUCUCCUUUUUUUGAAGAUUACGUGUAUGCGUAUGUAUAGACAUUUACGGAUAUGCAAACGUAUGUAUGUAGGUACACACUUUUCUGUUUAUCGGGAUCAUACGUAAAUAUAUGUAAAUAUAUUAGUGUAUCUAUAUGUAUAUAUAGAUAUAUAUAUAUAUAUGUUUAUACGAAUGCGAAUGGAUAUAUACAUAUGUACAAAGUUAUAUACGUAUCUAUCCAAUCAAAACAUCUAUGUGUAAAUUUAUAAAUGACUGUGUAUAUGUAUACGCUGAAAUAUUUCUCUUUAUUUUUCAUUUUUGUUAUUUGGUGCUAUGUUCGCGGAAAUUUUACGCAUUAAAGACUUAUUUAUUACAAAAGACGAAUUAGGUGGAGUUUUUUUGUUUUUUUUUCUUCUUCUCUCUCUUUUCAAAAGUUGAUUUUCAAAACACCGUUUGUCUUAUUAAGAAUGCCUAUUAUACAUAUACAAUGUAUACGUUUUGCCCGGUGAUAUUUUUUGCCAUAUUCGCGUGAAAGUGUCUGUAUACAUUAUAUAAAAAAUUUUUUCGUCUUUUAUUGUUCUACAUGCAGCUAGUAUUUAUAUUUGCGUGUACAAAAAAUUUCGACGAUAGUAGGUUUCGUUAUUUGUUCACUUUCUAUACAUACUUUGCAUAUAAGUGUAAAUGACUUUUGUGUAAGUGACGGCUGCUAUGUCGGCGACAUUUCUUAACAAGUAAGCGCCCUCUACUAAACAUUUAUAAUUAUUACUAUAACUAAAUAUAAUAUAUGUAUACAUAUAUGUAUAUAUAUAUAUGUAUAUAUACUGUAUUUGUAUGUAUAUACCUACGUACAUGUAUAAUUUUUCAUUAUCUGUGGUUAAAUGUUAUAUGCUAUAUUUCGGGCUGUUUAGCGUCAACAGUCUGCUACAUUUAAAAAAGACAUCGCCUAUUUUCGUUAAAGCUUUCUGCUUAGAGAUAAUUUGAAAGAAACGUAGAAAUGUUAGGGAAUUGGGGUUUGAUAAAAGAGGGAAAGAGAGAGAGAGAGAGAGAGAAGGAGAGAGAGGGAAAAGAAAAAAAGUGCAAUGGGACAUAAUAGAGAAAAAGUGACAUAGUUAGAAAUAUAGCGUUAAAGUGAAAAAGGGAAAAACAAAGGGAAAAGGAGAUAAUUAAAGAAAAGAAAGAAAGCAAAAAAGAAUCUUAAGAUAUAUAUAUAUAUAUAUAAUUCUGCGCGCGCAUAUAAUGCACAAACACAUGCAUGCAUAGCGAAAACAUACACACCUACUUAUGCAUAUUUUCUUAGGUGUGAAGAGCAUAAUCGUGCUAAAUACGACUGCCCAAGCGUGUGCGUUUUCUAAGCAUGUUUGUAUGCCUUUCUAUUUUCUUGUAUCAUGUACGAGUUUGUCUGUAUUUAUAACUGUAAACAGUUUUGCAAUCUUUCUUACUUAAAAAUUUGUACGCUGAAUGAUUUACUCUUGAAACUGUCGGCUCAAAGGCGUCGGAAAAUAUAGAUUGAAAGAAAAAUUUCCUAUUGUAAAAAUAACUUAUAUUUUUAUUGACAUAAAUCAUUUUUAUUAUUACUUGA